Molecule: long non-coding RNA, 4050 nt
Organism: Esox lucius (northern pike)
Lineage: Eukaryota; Metazoa; Chordata; Actinopteri; Esociformes; Esocidae
Exons: 4
Source: RefSeq, a predicted model, not a curated record
GUGUAUGUGUGUUCUUGUUUAUAUGGUAUAGGGGGACAUUUGACCUGAAAUCUCACCAGCACUAUGAGGACAUUUUGGUUUAUGAGGACAUUUUCAAUGUCCCCAUAAGUCGGGCACUGUAGAAGUACUUAUUUCAUUGUUAUUAACUAUGUCCUGCUUUUUUAACUCAUGUCCUAAUAUACCAUAAAGACCUGGUUUUGUUGUGUAUCACACACAGCCCAUACUCCCCCUAUGUCUGGUUGUUGGUAGUGCAGCUUGAUACGAUUUUUUUUCAUUGGCUCAUGGGUUGUAUGCAUGUCUGAUCACCGAUUGGCUACUGCUUCUGUCAAUAACGGGGACGAUCGUUGAUUCGCGGUUGCGGCUGUGAGUCACCGCAUUCUGGCGGCAAACUAUCAACUUUCUAUGUCGCGAGCCUAUAGCUAGUGAAACCCCGCCAAGUUAUGCUGAAGUUUAUUUUACCUCAGAAGACAUCACCUGAAAGAAACCGCGACGCGAAGAGGACUUUUCUAAUGGUUAUCUUCACUACUAAAUAGGUAAGUAAUUUUUCUAUUCACACAAUUGAUCAAAUGUAUUAUUUAGUUUACAAUUUUAUAGCUAAAAUAUAUAAAAUGUGCAGUUUAAACACAAACGUGAACAGGGUAGAGUAAUGACUGCUAUAGUACUUGUAGCUUGGUAAUUAUGUACUGUACUUCUCCUGUUCUGUUGUUCAAGCAGGCUAAUGGGUUAAUACUACUGAGAUUAAACUUGCGUUGAUGUUAUUGUUGGAGUGUCUCGCAGUUUUAUAGUCAGUCCUGAGUGUUUUUGUAGUCUGGCUAAUUUUUUUUUUUUUUGCAUGUGCUUAAAACAUUUGUUAAUAUCGUAUUUCUGUCCGAAACGUGAGUUAAUUGUUGUCGUCUGCUUGUUAGCGGUAAGUUAAGUAAUUGUUUCAAGCUAACGUUAGCGAAUGUAAUGAUGGACAUUCAAUGGGCUCUGAAGUGCCAGCAGUUUCUUCUCUCAAAAUGAUUUCGCUUUUAGUGUUGUUUAGAAACUGUAUAAAAAGCCAAUACAUGGCUUUGUGUUUGGCCGUGUUUGAGGAAUGACAAGUGUUCCUCUUGUCAUGAUCUGAUAAUUUGACUGAUGUAUCCCUCAUUCACCCAAAUAGGUGAGUAAUAGUAAUAUAAUAUGAAUAUAGUGUAUUGUCAAAACACUUGGCCGAUGUAUUUUGUAAUUUUAUUUAGGCAUAGUGGCUGGGUAAGUUUGACUCUGUGUUAAAUAGUGAAGGCCUUUUUAACACAUGUUAAAAAGGCAUUCAGGCGUUGUUGCUCAACUGCGGGGGUCCUGUGCGGUCUAAUAGUAAGAACAAGGGGAACGAGUGGCAAGUACAUUGAUAGGUCUACCUGUUGUGGCUGAGUAGCCCCAUACUAAAGCCACAAUUGAUAUUGAGUUGGAGAACUGUCUUUCAUCACUCAUAGUUCACUAUUACAGUUGGGUUCAAAUAACCCUGUAUGUUGGGUUGUGAUGUAAACGCAGCACAUUUGGUCAGAUGAUUGACUUGGUAUUUCAUAAGUGAAGAAAUAUUUAGACUUUGUAUUUCACAAGUGAAGAAAUAUUUAUACGGUUAGUAACUGAAUGUGGCUGCAUAUACAUGGGGUUGGAAUGACAACAACCAGGACAGUUGCUCUGGAGCUGAUUUAGAGACCCUUGUUAAGGUAUGUUAUGCAAUACAUAAGGUCUUUCACUUGUUUUGUGUUUUCACAAGCUUGUGCAGUUUUUGUUUGAAAGAAAUGCUAAUAGUUUCAUGAAUUUGUGAACAUCGGGUGCUCUCAAUGUCAGUACAUCAUGAGGGUUUAUCUUUUUGCUCGCUUUAAAUCUUGCAAUUUUUGUUUUAUACUAUUGUCUGAAAUUUAGAAAAAUAAAAGGUGUAACAUUUUUGUGAUGCCUGUCUCAUGACACAUUGCAUUAAAAUAUGACUAGUUUAUAUACUAGACCAGUUUCACACUUCUAGUGAUUACUAGUUUGGACUAUGAUUAGCUAAGUAAUGUUUUCUAUCUGGGCAGUAAGUUUGAGGUCCCAGGUCAACAUAUUGUUAAAAUUGUUUUGAAUUUGAAAGCUGGUGAUCAGAAGUAGAGAAAAAGAGAUGAACCUACCAUGGGAGACAUCAGAUCUUGGCAUUACUAAGGAUGAAAAUGUUACAUUUAAUGCUUCAAUUAGACUAGAAUUAAGUAAUUUCCAUUUAAUCUCCACAUUUCCCUUUCAAAUGGUUAUGUAUAUAGUAAAAAUAAUUUACUUUGUUUUGUUAAGAAAGGUAUUAUGAUUUUGAGGCUAAAAACUAUUAUGCAUCCAGUACAGUGUAGCGCAUGAGUUUAACAUGAUAUAAAUAAGCUAUAAAUCUAUUAUGAGAUUUGCUGUUUAAAGAGGAUAUUUUGUAUCCUUUUUUGCUUGUAUGAUACUGCUAGGAAUGUGAACUUAAGACAGAUUUACAUAGUUGAAUAUGUCUGAAUGCCUAUAAAUACGUCUAUAAGUCUGAAUGUCGGGGUUCUAAUAUAUUUAAUGCAGUGUAAGUUUAUGGACCUUAAGUUAACUAUUGCAAUCCCAAAGUAUUUGUGUUUAUGCAGGCAUUUCAGCAAAAGGAAAUAAAAUAAUACAUUUGAUACGUACAUUAAUAUAUUGUAGUAAUAGCAACUAUUAAAUUAAAUGUGGGAUAACUUAAGGAAGACUUACAUUAUCAUAACCCUUGACAAACAUUAGGUGAUCUAUCCAUGACACUGCAAUAUUGGUGAAUAGGUCUUUAAUAUCAGCGCUCGACAACAGAAAGCAUUGUUGUGGUAAUGAUCAUUUGCCUAUGGGUGUUAUUUUGAGGCACUGUUCAGGCAUUAAGUGACUUUGAAAGUCAUAUCAGUAGCUUCCCUAGGCCUGUUAAAUGCAUUAUCCACCCCUCAUAACGCAGCAAGUACAAUAACAUAUACGCGAGCAGAUUGGUGCUUUGCAUUAUGCAAUUAUGCAGCUAACCAGCAUCAUACAGUGACUAUGGUUAAAAUAUUUAGCGUCUACGUAUUCAUCUUUUUGGAGGUUAAUCCCGUUGAUUGAUAACAUGAAUACGUUUAUUCAAUAUGAAAUUAGGGCUCUCACGAUUCAAGUAACUCUGAUAAACCCAACUUGCAUUUUGCGGCAGCACGUCAUCAAUUCUGCAAGAUUAGAAUAGGAGGCAUGCAUACACUGAGGCACAGAAUUCUGACAGGAUCUUUUUACUUGAGCCAUACGAGUUUGCAACAUCUUCCGGUCAGAAUGGAGAGUGCUGUAACGUUAGCAAUUCUGGCUGACUGUCUAGUAUGGUGUGUUUUUUAUUUUUUUUUAUUUGUUAGCCAUGUGAGGUUGGGUAUUUUGUAAAUGUAGUUUAAACGGUGGCAGCCUAAGCAUUGUAUGUGAUGUUGAUUGGUCAUAUCUCUAAUAUUCUCUUGUUUAUAUGUUUUGAAUGUAUAUGUUUUUGAAUCCAUAAUUAAUGGUAGCAUUUGCUUUUCAUUGAUUAGGAACAUAUAAACAACAAUGAGCCUCAAAGAAAGGAGAGGAGGAAGGGGCAGAAAUCCUGAACAAGAUGCACUAUAUUAUAUUUCCAAUUCACUGGACAAAGUUGGUUUUCUAAAGAAGUUCAUUAACCCCUUCAAAGGUCAUGGAGUAUUCAGCAAUAGCUACUUUGGAAAAGGAGACUUCCUGCUGGAAUACAGAGGGGACUUUAUUACAUUUGAUGAGAGCAAAAGAAGAAGAAUACAAUACAGUGAUGCCCUUAAUGUUUUCAUGUUUGACCUAAGUUUCAAUGGGAAACUGUGGUGUAUUGAUGCAGCAAACACUGAAUCACUUGCCAGAUUUGUCAACGAUGACCAUAUCAAUCCGAACAGCAAAAUGAAAAGGCUAACAGUUGGAGGGAAGCCCCAUCUCUGUUUAUUUGCAACGUCCGACAUAAAACCUGGAGAGGAAAUUUCCUAUGAUUAUGGUGACUCGGACUGGCCGUGGCGAAAUAAGCAAAUCCAUGUCCAAGAAAUGUCCGUUACUACAGAGACCGAGAACACUGAAGAG